GACGACCUUUGGCGGCGCGCCUAACACAUGCAAGUCGAACGGAGCUAUGUUGAAAGCUUGCUGGAUAUAGCUUAGUGGCGGACGGGUGAGUAACACGUGAGCAACCUGCCUUUCAGAGUGGAAUAACGUUUGGAAACGAACGCUAAUACCGCAUAACGUCAGAGGAUGGCAUCGUCUUUUGACCAAAGAUUUAUCGCUGAAAGAUGGGCUCGCGGCCGAUUAGGUAGUUGGUGAGAUAAUAGCCCACCAAGCCGACGAUCGGUAGCCGGACUGAGAGGUUGAACGGCCACAUUGGGACUGAGACACGGCCCAGACUCCUACGGGAGGCAGCAGUGGGGGAUAUUGCACAAUGGGGGAAACCCUGAUGCAGCGACGCCGCGUGAGGGAAGACGGCCUUCGGGUUGUAAACCUCUGUCUUCGGGGACGAAUAAAUGACGGUACCCGAGGAGGAAGCCACGGCUAACUACGUGCCAGCAGCCGCGGUAAUACGUAGGUGGCAAGCGUUGUCCGGAAUUACUGGGUGUAAAGGGAGCGUAGGCGGGGAGGCAAGUUGAAUGUCUAAACUAUCGGCUCAACUGAUAGUCGCGUUCAAAACUGCCACUCUUGAGUGCAGUAGAGGUAGGCGGAAUUCCUAGUGUAGCGGUGAAAUGCGUAGAUAUUAGGAGGAACACCAGUGGCGAAGGCGGCCUACUGGGCUGUAACUGACGCUGAGGCUCGAAAGCGUGGGUAGCAAACAGGAUUAGAUACCCUGGUAGUCCACGCCGUAAACGAUGAUUACUAGGUGUGGGGGGACUGACCCCUUCCGUGCCGGAGUUAACACAAUAAGUAAUCCACCUGGGGAGUACGGCCGCAAGGCUGAAACUCAAAGGAAUUGACGGGGGCCCGCACAAGCAGUGGAGUAUGUGGUUUAAUUCGAAGCAACGCGAAGAACCUUACCAGGUCUUGACAUCGAGUGACGAACUUAGAGAUAAGUUCUUCCUUCGGGACACGAAGACAGGUGGUGCAUGGUUGUCGUCAGCUCGUGUCGUGAGAUGUUGGGUUAAGUCCCGCAACGAGCGCAACCCUUAUCAUUAGUUGCUACGCAAGAGCACUCUAAUGAGACUGCCGUUGAUAAAACGGAGGAAGGUGGGGAUGACGUCAAAUCAUCAUGCCCCUUAUGACCUGGGCUACACACGUACUACAAUGGUGAUCAAACAGAGGGAAGCAACACAGUGAUGUGAAGCAGAACCCGAAAAAUCAUCUCAGUUCAGAUUGCAGGCUGCAACUCGCCUGCAUGAAGUCGGAAUUGCUAGUAAUCGCGGAUCAGCAUGCCGCGGUGAAUACGUUCCCGGGCCUUGCACA
RNAcentral lists this ribosomal RNA (1341 nucleotides) under uncultured bacterium. RNAcentral's name for it is "bacterial SSU rRNA". It matches the Rfam family "Bacterial small subunit ribosomal RNA", at positions 28 to 1387 of the family's 1533-position model. The record is from RNAcentral.